CUGACUAGCAGUGGGGAAGGGUCUUUUCUGGAGAUCCCUCCUCUGAAGUUUUGCAGUGAGCCCAGGACACGGGUUUGCCCCAUGGGUUGUUGAUAUCCAUUGAAGCCCUGAAAAUCAGCUAAUAGCAGUGUGAGUAGAUUCUGGGGAGCCAAACCCUCACUAAGAAGGUCACAUCUGGAAGAACUGACAAGCAAACCCACAGAAUUCAAGUGGCAGGGAGCCCAAGGCUCGCUGGCUCUGGCUCAAAUAAAAGCAGUGCUGUACAGAAGGCAGAUCAUCCCUCUGUUGAAUUGAGAGCACACUAUCUGCUGUAUACAGUCAGCAUGGAAAUGCCACCAACCUCCAGAUUGACCUGUGGUGGACUCCACUGUGUUUACUGCCAAUUUGGGAUGAUGCAUUACUGUACAGUGCUACCAAUAAAUGGAAAGUUUGAGCUAGCAGGAAAAGAACAGAAUGGUGCAAAACUAUACUCAGACCGGAGCGUGUUUGCCAGACAGAAGGAGGUUUAUCUCCUUCUCAUAAGAGCUGCUAACUGCACUGGAAUGGUGGAAAUGACUGUGAACUUCAGAAUUUGAGAAGGCUGUUCUAAAAAAAUGCUGGGAAAAGUGUGAAAAUGCUCUAAAAGUACAGCUGGUCAUCCUAAGUACAAAUGAGAGAUCUACAAGGUGUUGUUCCACCAGAGGAAGAUUCUGUACUCUGCAGACCCACUGUGGACUUGACUGUAGCAGAAGGGGGAGCAGCCUAUGUACUUACAGAUCAGUUCCAAAAGGUAAGCGUGGGAAUGGGAAUGAGGGUGGAAAUAGAAAAAAGUCCUUCUGAACUUUAAGAAACUCAGCGUCAUUUUCUGUGGAUUUGAACUAUGCUUGUAGCUCUGGUCUUGACCUUACAUAGGUUGUCAUGUUUGCAUCACUGCAAGGCUGGAAAUACCUCAGUGGCUCUUGGGUUGUUUACAAAUUCAAGUUGGACUGUGAUUUUGAUCAAUACGAUGUGUUUCUAGGGGACUUUUGAUUGCUGAGAGUUUUACCAGAGCCUUGAGUGGAAAAAGCGUUUUGCUCCCCAGAGAAUUUGCACAGGGUACUUCUAGGAAAUGUUUGCAUGUUUUGGUUUGUUUUGAGCAAGAGCAAAAAGUCUUGUUCUGGAUUGUUUUGUGGCUGAACUUCUGUCUCUGAACUGAUGCAAAGUCUCUCAGGUGGCAUUGUUUUAUUGCCUUAUGCUUUUGAACCAUGGACUUCCUGGCCAGAUUGUGUCUCCAGUCUCUACCGAAAGUUGUUAUGUAAAGAACUUAGUGUUUUCUGAUAGAUGAUUCAUAGUGAAGCAUAGGAAUUU
Molecule: long non-coding RNA, 1326 nt
Organism: Lagopus muta (rock ptarmigan)
Lineage: Eukaryota; Metazoa; Chordata; Aves; Galliformes; Phasianidae
Exons: 5
Source: RefSeq, a predicted model, not a curated record